Molecule: transfer RNA, 57 nt
Filed under: Phrynus sp. 1 SEM-2008
Lineage: Eukaryota; Metazoa; Arthropoda; Arachnida; Amblypygi; Phrynidae
Description: tRNA-Ser
Source: RNAcentral
GAAAAUUUUUUUUGUCAAAAGCUGCUAACUUUUGAAAAACAUUUAUGUUAAUUUUCU